RNAcentral lists this long non-coding RNA (204 nucleotides) under Solanum tuberosum (potato). Its description in RNAcentral is "long non-coding RNA (STUB_LNC001672)". Lineage: Eukaryota; Viridiplantae; Streptophyta; Magnoliopsida; Solanales; Solanaceae. The record is from RNAcentral.
AAAAAAUAAACUAAUACACCCUUCUACUCAGCGUCAUUUUAAAUCAUAUGAAUUUUCCUUCGACUAAAAUACAUGCAUAUUUUUUUUCUUAAAAGAAAGUAAAUAAGUAAAACGAAAGGAAAAUGGUUAUAUUAAUAAUUCACAUGAAAAAAUUUAAAUAUAAGAAGAAGAAGAGUAGAAUAUUAGAAAUUGUUUGUUGUUGAA